RNAcentral lists this long non-coding RNA (761 nucleotides) under Pan troglodytes (chimpanzee). RNAcentral describes it as "lincRNA". The record is from RNAcentral. Lineage: Eukaryota; Metazoa; Chordata; Mammalia; Primates; Hominidae.
UUCUCCUUCCUGCCACCAUGUGAAAAAGGACAUGUUUGCUUCUCCUUCUGCCAUGAUUUUCCCCUAUAUUCUCACCAGUAACUAAAAGCAUAGUGUCCAGAAUGAAUCUAAGUAGAAGAAGGGAAGACGAGAAGGACACAAGAAGGAAGACAAGGAAAAAUGUCGACCUCAAAGAACUAGAGGAACAACACUGGAGUUAUACGAAACACCCAGAAUUAGAAUCAGAGCAAUUUGAUUGGAUUUACAACAGCUGAUUGUAGAUACAAGAACUUUACCGAGCCAUUCACAAUUUUUGUGCUUCAAUUUCAUCAUUUUAAAACAGAAAGAAUUUACCUUAUACGCUUGUUGCUUAGAUUAUAAAGGAAUUAUCUAUAUAAAAAGUACAAUAAAGAAGAAUAUAAAUGUAAGAAUGUAGAGGGUCACAAACAUAGUUUGAAAUAUCCAUGUUUUUCAUUUUGGAGUGAAAAGAGGAAAAAUACUAACUGUAAAAUUAAAUUCAUUACUAUAUCAAAGUCAAGCCUGCCUAUCAAGUCAUUUGACAGUUAAAAAUGUUUUGUUUAUCCCAUAAACUUUAUGAAAAAACUAGUUCAUUGCCAAAGGGAUGUUACUUACAGCAAAAUCUCUAGAAGCUCUGAAAUAGAAUUUGAGUUUUAUUUGCAUUUUAUUUUUACAUUCUUACUACUCUACUAACUACAUUCUGCCUAAGUAAAUAUGCUCAAAGCUUUAAAAGUAGGCUGAAUGAAUCACUGGUGGAAAAAUAA